AACUUUCAACAACGGAUCUCUUGGUUCUGGCAUCGAUGAAGAACGCAGCGAAAUGCGAUAAGUAAUGUGAAUUGCAGAAUUCAGUGAAUCAUUGAAUCUUUGAACGCACAUUGCGCCCCUUGGUAUUCCGAGGGGCAUGCCUGUUUGAGCGUCAUUU
Molecule: ribosomal RNA, 157 nt
Filed under: Neofusicoccum parvum
Lineage: Eukaryota; Fungi; Ascomycota; Dothideomycetes; Botryosphaeriales; Botryosphaeriaceae
Description: 5.8S ribosomal RNA
Rfam family: 5.8S ribosomal RNA
About the family: 5.8S ribosomal RNA (5.8S rRNA) is a component of the large subunit of the eukaryotic ribosome. It is transcribed by RNA polymerase I as part of the 45S precursor that also contains 18S and 28S rRNA. Functionally, it is thought that 5.8S rRNA may be involved in ribosome translocation.
Source: RNAcentral